CAGUACACUCAUCCAUAAAGUAGGAAACACUACAGCGUUCAGACCUGUCUAGUAGUGCUUUCUACUUUAUGGGUAACUGCACUG
RNAcentral lists this microRNA precursor (84 nucleotides) under Pelobates cultripes (western spadefoot toad). It matches the Rfam family "mir-142 microRNA precursor family". The record is from RNAcentral. Lineage: Eukaryota; Metazoa; Chordata; Amphibia; Anura; Pelobatidae.